Molecule: long non-coding RNA, 1678 nt
Organism: Wasmannia auropunctata (little fire ant)
Lineage: Eukaryota; Metazoa; Arthropoda; Insecta; Hymenoptera; Formicidae
Exons: 2
Source: RefSeq, a predicted model, not a curated record
AUACAAUACACAAAUACAUAAAUUCAGCCUUGUAGGACAACUUGAAUCAACUUUAAAUUAACUUAUCAAGCAAAUACACCAUCUUGUUAAUAAAAUUAUAAAUUUUUUGUUAUUCAAUAUGCAUGGAAAGGAUUAAGAUUUUGAUCAAAGUAGUAGUGCUUAUAGCAAAGUUUGCCUCUAAUCUAAUUUUUCUUUUCGCAUAAAUAUUAUUCUAUAUAUUUGAAUUAAUCUAGUCUAGUUAAAUUAAUAAAAGUUUUGUCGAAGUCCUCUUCAAUCGUUGAUUUUAGAAUAAUCAAUGACUGUCAUUGUCAAGUUACAAGAGCGCAAUGUACGUUAUGCUAAAGUGUUACGCCGCUUGAUAUCAAUUGGAACGAUAAUCGUUUCAUUAUUGCUGGUUGCAAACAUGAGAUUGCUUCUCAUAAAUCUCAUAGCAUUAAGCGUCACGCUAAUCCACGCUGAUUGAUGCACUUCGAACACGGAAAAAGGUUACGGAAGAUCGCUGCCGAAGGAACGAAUUGAAUUGAUUGGACACCUUAUUCACCUUAUCUUAACAAUACUUAACAAUGCCACUCUAUGAAUUAUGAUACACGUGUCUGUUUAAAAUUGGAAAAGAUACUUGGUCGAAUCGAAACACUCCAAUAACUUGGGCGGCAUGAUAGUUGAUACGACAAGGAUGAGAAUGAUUCUCGGAUGUACCUAUUUCAAAAACUGAAAAUGACAACAAAAAUCGGUAAAUAUCGGUAAAUAGCCGAUCUUGAAUUAUUAAAGAAAAAUAGAACAACAUAGAAAUGUAAACAUUCAAAUCUAAGAUAACGCAGUUAAUUUAACUUAAAUUUGUCAUUUUAUUUAAUUUCCACAGGAUUAAUAAAGGUUAGGUUAAGUUAAUUUAGGUUAGAUUACGUUGAAUUCAAUAAAAUUUUAUUUUAAAUUUAGAGUAUAUGAUUACAUAAACAUGGUAGAAACAUAUUUCUAUACGAAAAUCUCACAUUUUUUAUUUAUAUGUACGUAUUUAAUUUAUUAUUUGAAAAUCAAAAAUUAUGGCGCUUUUUUGGAUUUCCUGCAUUAUCUUUUUGUCGGAAAACGUAUAAUUAAAAAAUUAUUUAAAGAAAAGAGUGCACUUGAUGCCAAAUUAGUAUCUAUUUUAAAUAAAUUUGAAUUUUUUUCUCUUUCAUAAAUUAGAGCAGCCACUGUUAAUCGCACAAGUUUUCUUUAAAGUGCACUAUCCUUUAAAAUUACAUUUUUUAACUUUUAAGUACAAAACAAUGUAAUACUAAAUAUGCCUUAAUAUUAAAUGUAAGGAAAAAUAUUCGUAAAAAAAAAAAAUAAAAGAUAACAUUGGUAUAUAUACAUAUAAAAUAAGAUAUAAAUAUGUAUAUAUAUAGAAUAGAAAAUGUUCUGAAAAACAUAUUCCAAAAAUAGAUCAAGGAAACUACUGAAUGUUCUGUUGAGGAUAAUGUUAUAUAUAUUGCAUUACUACUCAUACAUUUUACUUAUUUACAUUAUGCUGAUUACAACUAUCUUUUAUAUCUUCCUAUUCAAUUAUCUCAGAUCACAUUAAAUAUAAUUGAGUAAGUAAAUUAAAUGUGAUCAAAUCAUUUUCAUAACUGUAGUUUCUCUGAUUACAUUGCUCUGAUAAUAUUGCAACAUUGAAUUAUAUAAUUCUUUUUUUUUCUGUACA